Molecule: transfer RNA, 104 nt
Filed under: Malassezia nana
Lineage: Eukaryota; Fungi; Basidiomycota; Malasseziomycetes; Malasseziales; Malasseziaceae
Description: tRNA-Pro
Source: RNAcentral
GGCCCAAUAGUAUAGUCGCAUUAUACUCCCUUCGGGACAUUACGAAUUCUCUCAGGGGAGCCCUGAUUUGGGAGAGGUCCCGGGUUCAAUUCCCGGUUGGGCCC